Molecule: ribosomal RNA, 254 nt
Filed under: uncultured bacterium
Lineage: Bacteria
Description: partial 16S ribosomal RNA
Rfam family: Bacterial small subunit ribosomal RNA
Source: RNAcentral
UACGUAGGGCGCAAGCGUUGUCCGGAAUUAUUGGGCGUAAAGAGCUCGUAGGCGGUCUGUCGCGUCGAUCGUGAAAACUUGGGGCUUAACCCUGAGCUUGCGGUCGAUACGGGCAUGACUGGAGUUCGGCAGGGGAGACUGGAAUUCCUGGUGUAGCGGUGAAAUGCGUAGAUAUCUGGAGGAAUACCGGUGGCGAAGGCGGCAUCCUGGACCGGCAUUGACGCUGAGGAGCGAAAGCCAGGGGAGCAAACGGG